ACAUAGUGAGGGUGAGGGAACUGGCCCUUG
RNAcentral lists this ribosomal RNA (30 nucleotides) under Acropora cf. cytherea 18Oki07. Its description in RNAcentral is "partial small subunit ribosomal RNA". The record is from RNAcentral. RNAcentral also lists the same sequence under 35 other names. Lineage: Eukaryota; Metazoa; Cnidaria; Anthozoa; Scleractinia; Acroporidae.